AAAUGUCCCAGUUCCAGGGAUCCCAUGAGUAAAGGCAAGUCUGUCCCCAGCUGCGACUGGCCCCGGCUCAAGUUCUUCCUCCGUGGUGUAGGGCCCGGCUUCGCAGAGAACCCAGCGCAUGCGCGCACAGACGCAGCUGGUGUGGCGACGGCUACCCUCAGAACAGGAUGUCCAGGAACUCCCAAAGAAAGGAACAGGAGUGAGCGGUUGUAACCAUUUAUCAAGAUGGGGAAGCACAGAUCAGACGGGGCAGAAUCUGGACUCCAGGCAACCCCCUGAUUGGUUCAGCGAUGGACACGUGACCCCAGCUGGCUGAUCAAAUUCAUCCUGGGACUUGGAGGAAGGCUGUACUUGCUGUCUUUGCUCCAGCGUCGCAAGUUGAGAAAGAAGACAGUGUUCAAACAUGGCUUGGUGAAAAUAGCUCUGUGUGAAAGCAAAGAAAUGCAGUGCAGGUGAGUGACUUUUUGGCAAUCUGAGGAGAAACAAGGGAAAUAGGGCUGGGAGAAUCUCUGAAUCUUCAGCCGGUGUGCCACGUUCCGCUGGUGUGGCAUGAGAGGAUCUUAGGUGUGCUGUGAAAAUUUUUAAAGAUCAUGAAUUAAAUUAUUUUUGAAAGAAGGUCAAAGCACAGUAAAUAUAUUCUUUUUCUUACUCCUGUUUCUGAUCAACAUAAGUUAAGGGUGCUGCAGAAGUUUAACUGUAGGUUCAAGUGUGCCAUGAGA
Nycticebus coucang (slow loris) is the source of this 719-nucleotide long non-coding RNA. RefSeq lists it as uncharacterized. The transcript is spliced from 4 exons. NCBI's taxonomy places the organism in Eukaryota, Metazoa, Chordata, Mammalia, Primates, Lorisidae. The record is from RefSeq and is a predicted model, not a curated record.